UGUGUGUGUGUGUGUGUGUGUGUGUGCAUUAUGUGUGUGUAUGCACAUACAUGCAUACAUGCACAUUGUGUACACACACACAACACACAAGUG
Molecule: non-coding RNA, 93 nt
Organism: Podarcis lilfordi (Lilford's wall lizard)
Lineage: Eukaryota; Metazoa; Chordata; Lepidosauria; Squamata; Lacertidae
Source: the annotation of a GenBank genome assembly